Molecule: ribosomal RNA, 905 nt
Filed under: Gemmatimonadota bacterium
Lineage: Bacteria; Pseudomonadati; Gemmatimonadota
Description: Gemmatimonadetes bacterium partial 23S ribosomal RNA
Rfam family: Bacterial large subunit ribosomal RNA
Source: RNAcentral
UGGUCAAGCGAGAAAGUGCGCACGGUGGAUGCCUUGGCACAGACCGGCGAUGAAGGACGUGGCAAGCUGCGAAAAGCCUCGGGGAGCUGCAAGCAAGCUCAGAUCCGGGGGUGUCCGAAUGGGGGAACCCGGCGGGAGCAGUCCCGUCACCCUUAGGGGAGCCAACCCAGGGAACUGAAACAUCUAAGUACCUGGAGGAAAAGAAAUCAAUCGAGAUUCCCAGAGUAGCGGCGAGCGAAAAGGGAACAGCCCAAACCCGGGUGAGGAGACUCAACCGGGGGUUGUGGGGCCGCAUCGCAAGGCGAACCGAAGCAUAGCGGAACGGUACUGGAACGUACGACCGCAGAGGGUGAGAGUCCCGUAUGCGAAAUGCGAGUAGACGAGCUGAUGCGGACCCCGAGUAGGCCGGGACACGUGAAACCCUGGCUGAAUCCGGGAGGACCAUCUUCCAAGGCUAAAUACGAGUCUGUGACCGAUAGUGAAGAGUACCGUGAGGGAAAGGUGAAAAGAACGCCUGACGGCGAGUGAAAUAGACCCUGAAACCGUGUGCAUACAAGCGGUCGGAGCCCGGCCCGGAUCUUCGGAUUCCCGGGGGUGGGUGACGGCGUGCCUUUUGCAUUAUGAUCCGGCGAGUUACUCCUCAUGCGCGAGGUUAAGGGCCUCAGGUCCGGAGCCGAAGCGAAAGCGAGUCUGAACAGGGCGACGAGUGCAUGGGGGUAGACCCGAAACCGAAGCGAUCUAUCCAUGGCCAGGGUGAAGCCGGGGUAACACCUGGUGGAGGCCCGAACCGUUGUGGGUUGAAAACUGCUCGGAUGAGCUGUGGAUAGGGGUGAAAGGCCAAUCAAGCUCGGAGAUAGCUGGUUCUCCCCGAAAUAUAUUUAGGUAUAGCCUCAGGUAAUUGUCUC